RNAcentral lists this unclassified non-coding RNA (240 nucleotides) under soil metagenome. RNAcentral's name for it is "partial contains 5.8S ribosomal RNA, internal transcribed spacer 2, and large subunit ribosomal RNA". The record is from RNAcentral.
AACCAUAGAAACCUGCGGAGUACCUGCGGAAGGAUCAUUACCGAGUUUACAACUCCCAAACCCCAAUGUGAACCUCUACCUAAUCGUUGCCUCGGCGGGAUCGCCCCGCGGCGCCCCCUCCAGGGCGUCCGGAUCACACGGCGCCCGCCGCAGGACCCCCCAAACUCUCUUGCAUCUCCGGCGUCGUUUUCUUCUGAGUGGACCUUUUUCCUCGCGAGAGCGGGGUGAAAAUGAAUCAAA